Molecule: ribosomal RNA, 690 nt
Filed under: Bacillus cereus
Lineage: Bacteria; Bacillati; Bacillota; Bacilli; Caryophanales; Bacillaceae
Description: bacterial SSU rRNA
Rfam family: Bacterial small subunit ribosomal RNA
Source: RNAcentral
GAGUUUGAUCCUGGCUCAGGAUGAACGCUGGCGGCGUGCCUAAACAUGCAAGUCGAGCGAAUGGAUUAAGAGCUUGCUCUUAUGAAGUUAGCGGCGGACGGGUGAGUAACACGUGGGUAACCUGCCCAUAAGACUGGGAUAACUCCGGGAAACCGGGGCUAAUACCGGAUAACAUUUUGAACGCAUGGUUCGAAAUUGAAAGGCGGCUUCGGCUGUCACUUAUGGAUGGACCCGCGUCGCAUUAGCUAGUUGGUGAGGUAACGGCUCACCAAGGCAACGAUGCGUAGCCGACCUGAGAGGGUGAUCGGCCACACUGGGACUGAGACACGGCCCAGACUCCUACGGGAGGCAGCAGUAGGGAAUCUUCCGCAAUGGACGAAAGUCUGACGGAGCAACGCCGCGUGAGUGAUGAAGGCUUUCGGGUCGUAAAACUCUGUUGUUAGGGAAGAACAAGUGCUAGUUGAAUAAGCUGGCACCUUGACGGUACCUAACCAGAAAGCCACGGCUAACUACGUGCCAGCAGCCGCGGUAAAGUAGGUGGCAAGCGUUACCGGAAUUAUUGGGCGUAAAGCGCGCGCAGGUGGUUUCUUAAGUCUGAUGUGAAAGCCCACGGUCAACCGUGGAGUGACGAGACUUGAGUGCAGAAGAGGAAAGUGGCAGAGUAGGAGGAACACCAGGGCGAAGGCGACU